RNAcentral lists this ribosomal RNA (495 nucleotides) under uncultured bacterium. RNAcentral describes it as "partial 16S ribosomal RNA". It matches the Rfam family "Bacterial small subunit ribosomal RNA", at positions 28 to 507 of the family's 1533-position model. The record is from RNAcentral.
GACGAACGCUGGCGGCGUGCCUAAUACAUGCAAGUAGAACGCUGAAGGAGGAGCUUGCUUCUCCGGAUGAGUUGCGAACGGGUGAGUAACGCGUAGGUAACCUGCCUGGUAGCGGGGGAUAACUAUUGGAAACGAUAGCUAAUACCGCAUAACAGUAGAUAUUGCAUGAUAUCUGCUUGAAAGGUGCAAUUGCAUCACUACCAGAUGGACCUGCGUUGUAUUAGCUAGUUGGUGAGGUAACGGCUCACCAAGGCGACGAUACAUAGCCGACCUGAGAGGGUGAUCGGCCACACUGGGACUGAGACACGGCCCAGACUCCUACGGGAGGCAGCAGUAGGGAAUCUUCGGCAAUGGACGGAAGUCUGACCGAGCAACGCCGCGUGAGUGAGGAAGGUUUUCGGAUCGUAAAGCUCUGUUGUAAGAGAAGAACGAGUGUGAGAGUGGAAAGUUCACACUGUGACGGUAUCUUACCAGAAAGGGACGGCUAACUACGUG